Oncorhynchus tshawytscha (Chinook salmon) is the source of this 1021-nucleotide long non-coding RNA. The record is from Ensembl. Lineage: Eukaryota; Metazoa; Chordata; Actinopteri; Salmoniformes; Salmonidae.
GGCGCCACCUGGCGGCCUACCUGGGCAAGUCUGACGAGGUGCGGGAGCCCAAUGGGCCGGCUGAGGCAUGGUGUGGGAGCCUGCCGAGCCAACCGAGGCUUGUGAGGCGGUUGAGGUGCGGGAGCCUGACAAGCCGGCCAUGGGAGGCCGACGUGCCCGGCCGAGGCGCGGGAACUCGACGGGCCAGCUGAGACAUGGCGUGGGAGCCAACCGAGGCUUGUGAGCCAGCUGAGGCAUGGGAGACUGACGAGCUAGCUGAGGCAUCCCCGGUUGCGUCGGCAGCGGCCGACGUCACCAACAAGAACAAAAAAAACACUCCCUGAUGCUUUCAAUUGUGGUGUCUGCAUUCUGUAACGGUUCCAUAAUCACAGACGCUGGGAGACAGGAAGCAAGUACUGGUGGCAGAAAAUGGCGGAGCACCAACCCACCAUCACUUAAAACCCACUGCUCUCCCUACACCUGUGAAGGAGCUCUCUCAUUCUCUCUCUCUCCCUUUACCCCCCCCACACUUAUCUCCAUAUAAUAAAUCCUCAUAAUUUUCAAAUGUAUGGUUUGCGCUUUAUGAAGACAUUGUGAAGAAUUAUUAGGAUCUAAUAUAAUCGUAUAUUAUUGUUUAAUGACAUUAACAUAAACAUCUACAUGCAGUAGGACAGAUCUACAAUUUGUACAAUGAAUCAGGGAAGCAGCAGAUACGGCAGUCAGUCGGCAGUGCCAGGAGGACACAAUGGAGGUCUACCCCGGGUGAUGGUAAUAGAGGGUAUGUACGUGAGGCGACGUUGGCUCCCUCUUCUGGGAAUACGGGAGCUGGGCACCCCGACACGGACAGCUCUAAGUGGAGGUAAUUAGAGGAAAGUGCCAAACAGCCGUGGAGGCCAAAUAAAAGGAGCACGGUGGCACACCGCGAGAGAGAACGGGGAGAGACAGACACCAAGCAAAAGUAGAGAAGGACUGAGCCAAACCUAAGUGAUUUUCUUUGUUAUAUUUAUUUUCUGUCUUAGUAAAGUUGUUUUUUCCGACUAAA